AUUGAACGCUGGCGGCAUGCCUUACACAUGCAAGUCGAACGGCAGCACGGGUGCUUGCACCUGGUGGCGAGUGGCGAACGGGUGAGUAAUACAUCGGAACAUGUCCUGUAGUGGGGGAUAGCCCGGCGAAAGCCGGAUUAAUACCGCAUACGAUCCACGGAUGAAAGCGGGGGACCUUCGGGCCUCGCGCUAUAGGGUUGGCCGAUGGCUGAUUAGCUAGUUGGUGGGGUAAAGGCCUACCAAGGCGACGAUCAGUAGCUGGUCUGAGAGGACGACCAGCCACACUGGGACUGAGACACGGCCCAGACUCCUACGGGAAGCAGCAGUGGGGAAUUUUGGACAAUGGGCGAAAGCCUGAUCCAGCAAUGCCGCGUGUGUGAAGAAGGCCUUCGGGUUGUAAAGCACUUUUGUCCGGAAAGAAAUCCUUGACUCUAAUACAGUCGGGGGAUGACGGUACCGGAAGAAUAAGCACCGGCUAACUACGUG
This 486-nucleotide ribosomal RNA is filed under the name uncultured bacterium. Its description in RNAcentral is "partial 16S ribosomal RNA". It matches the Rfam family "Bacterial small subunit ribosomal RNA", at positions 30 to 507 of the family's 1533-position model. The record is from RNAcentral.